UUUUGACCGUGCAAAGGUAGCGCAAUCACUUGUCUCUUAAAUGGAGACCUGUAUGAAUGGCUAGACGAGGGCUUAACUGUCUCCCCCCCCCAGUCAGUGAAAUUGAUCUAUCCGUGCAGAAGCGGGUGUAAUUAUACAAGACGAGAAGACCCUUUGGAGCUUAAGGUACAGUAUUCAACCACGUUAAACGACUCCACAAGAAGCACGAACUUAGUGGUAAUUAACUUUUACCCUCCGGUGGGGGCAACCCCGAAGAAAAAGGAGCCCCCCAAUUGAAUGGGUCCAAUCCCCAAAGCCCAUUAAAUCCUUUUAUAACCCCCAAAUAUCCGAACCAUAAUUAACCCGAUUGAAAGGCCCAACCACGGACCAAGUUACCCUAGGGGAAUAACAGCGCAAUCCUCUCCCAAAAUUCCCUUAUCGACAAAGGG
Molecule: ribosomal RNA, 428 nt
Filed under: Pachychilon pictum (Albanian roach)
Lineage: Eukaryota; Metazoa; Chordata; Actinopteri; Cypriniformes; Leuciscidae
Description: partial 16S ribosomal RNA
Rfam family: Archaeal large subunit ribosomal RNA
Source: RNAcentral